Molecule: ribosomal RNA, 765 nt
Filed under: uncultured organism
Description: bacterial SSU rRNA
Rfam family: Bacterial small subunit ribosomal RNA
Source: RNAcentral
GCGAUGUGCCUAAGGUAUGCAAGUCGAACGAUUCCUGUAUCUUCGGAUACAGGGAGUGGCAAACGGCUGAGUAACGCGUAGGAACCUACCCCAAACUCGAGUAUAGCCCCGCGAAAGCGGGGGUAAUCCUCGAUAGUCCGUGAAGUAUUUUACUUCACGGUAAAGCUUUUGCGGUUUGGGAUGGGCCUGCGUCCUAUCAGGUAGUUGGUGAGGUAAGUGCUCACCAAGCCUAUGACGGGUAGCUGGUCUGAGAGGAUGGUCAGCCAGACUGGGACUGCGACACGGCCCAGACUCCUACGGGAGGCAGCAACUAGGAAUUGUGCGCAAUGGACGAAAGUCUGACGCCGCGACAUCGCGUGGAGGAUGAAGGUCUUCGGAUUGUAAACUCCUUUUCUUACCGAACAAGUUUUGAGUGUAGGUAAGGAAUAAGUGCCUGCUAACCACGUGCCAGAAGCAUCGGUAAUACGUGGGGCACGAGCGUUAUCCGGAUUUACUGGGCGUAAAGAGAAGCGUAGGCGGCUCGAUAAGUUUGGUGUUAAAUCUUCCGGCUCAACCGGAAACAAGCACCGAAAACUAUCGAGAUUGAGUCGAGUAGGGAAGAGGGGAGUUCCUGGUGGAGCGGUUAAAUGCGUAGAUAUCAGGAGGAAUACCAAGGGCGAAGGCACCUCUUUGGACUCGUACUGACGCUGAGGCUCGAAAGCGUGGGUAGCAAAACGGAUUAGAUACCCGUGUAGUCCACGCCGUAAACGAUCCCUGUUAGAUGUA